AUUCUUUCGCAGAGGCAAUAUCGUAACCUAUGAGGUUCGUCCGAGGCGCGAUCAUUGCUGGUUGUAAAUUUUUAGGGGCAGUCAUGGCCUAAUGGUUAGAGAGUCGGACUCGUAACUCAAAGGUCGUGGGUUUGAGUUUCGGUACCGGCAGGGAUUUUUGGUUAAGGAAAUGAGGCUCUCUCUUCCAUCCU
Molecule: small nuclear RNA, 191 nt
Filed under: Sinocyclocheilus anshuiensis
Lineage: Eukaryota; Metazoa; Chordata; Actinopteri; Cypriniformes; Cyprinidae
Description: U4 spliceosomal RNA (ENSSANG00000047156.1)
Rfam family: U4 spliceosomal RNA (bases 1-75)
Source: RNAcentral